RNAcentral lists this long non-coding RNA (3123 nucleotides) under Marmota monax (woodchuck). The record is from RNAcentral. Lineage: Eukaryota; Metazoa; Chordata; Mammalia; Rodentia; Sciuridae.
GACAAUUUAAGUUAUGGCCCUGAUACUAGGUCAAUUUGCUUGCCCCCUUCAAGAGCCUCUCCUCCCCACCUAGGUUCUCCGGACAUCAGCUCCUGUCCCCUGCAGCCCUGCCUCAGGCAGGUGAAGGACUGGACUGUCUGUUGCCUGAUCAUGGAUCACCACCCGGGAGUCCUUUGCAAAGGGGCCCCACUCUCAAGGGCUGAGCCCUGGGGAAAUGUAGGACAGUUUCUGAGAACUGUUUGCUCUUCCCUCUUCACUCCAGCUCCCUUCUGGAAUAGGAUCUGUCUUCAAAGGACAAAGCAAGUCCCUCAGCGCAGAUGGCCUGGGCCCCUAGGUGUCCAGGAUUUCUGUUGCACUCCACUUCAGUCCCUGGACCUGGGUAGGGAGAAUGGAAUUGGGAGCUGCCGCCCCCAUGCCACCCUAACCCUCACCCUAGUGGGCAGGGCUGUACCCACGCAGCCUACCAUGCUAGAAAGGGAGGUUCUCGGGAGGUACUGUGCUUUUUCAGACUUCAAUCACAGGGUCAUCUGUGUCCCCUGGUGCCCCUCAACCUUAGUUAAUAACAACCCAGCAGGCAUGGAACCCAUUGUGAACUCCCAUUUCACCAGAAAGUAACCCUUUGAGACAUGGUCCCUGCAGGUGCUGCACACCCACUGUUCCCAGCCUUCCUGGCCUUCCUGGAUUGAGGCAGAGCACCCCACUGCCCCCCAUCUGCCCUCUCCCAAGCAUCUGAUUUUUACUGGAAGGUAGAAUGUCACCACCUUUACUCACUGGAAGCCCCUUCUUUUAGCUGCCUGGGUUCCCUCAAUCCUGGAAUCUGAGGUACUCGCAGGGCCAGGGUGCCAUCUGCCAGCUGUGUGACCAGCAGGUCACUUCAUCUCUCUGCACCCCACCUUCCUCUACUGCAAAAUGGAGGUGAUAACACCAUCCCCAUCUGUGAUAACACCUCUCCUAUCUGUGACUGCCUAACCUCUCUGAGCCUUAGGCCUUUUAGCUAAAGACAUCUGGCAGUUUUGAACCCAAACUUCUGUAGAAUCUGCUUUUCUGACACUUUCAACUCCACAUCACCAUCAGGAGAGCCAUGCUUGAUCACUCUUUGGGACGCAUGCCCUAAGCCUUCACCUGUGCUGGUCUUUCUACCUGAGAUGUCUUGUCCCUCCCACCUCCUGUCUCUGUCUGGCCAAAAAUUUUUGCAAAUCUGCCUGCCUCAGAAUGAGGCCGUUCUCAGUUUCCCCAAGAGGAACCACUGUGAGCUGCCCACUUACCCCCAGUCCAUUAUGCAUUUGUUUAUCGUUUCUCCUGGUGUGUCAUAAGUAACCUUUUGAGCCUUUCUCAAGAGCAGGGACUCUUCUUACUAUCCGUCCCCAGAGCCUUUCUCAAGAGCAGGGAUUCUUCUUACUAUCCGUCCCUAGCAUCUGGCACACAGCCUGGAGCAUGGUAGAUAUUUUCAGCAAAUGUCUAUGGAAUAGCCGUUAUUCUGCUGCCAAGUGCUCUACCUCUGAGCUGUACUUGCAAGGAAUAGCCACUAGUCUGUAGGAGACCACUGCUGACCUUCCCUCUCAUACAGCACCCUUGCAAAUGGUGCCACAACUUCCCCGCGACAGGCAAGCAUCUUUUCUGCUGGAGAAUCCCACCUCUCCUGGGCCAGCCAGCAAGCCCCGCACCAGAGCCCAGGAUAGGGCCCCUGGCAACCCAGUUUUAGCAUGGAGGAGCCCAGCCAGGGAGUGCUAGAGGUCACUAAGUCCCUCAGAGGAGCUGCCUUGUCCCCACUCCCUGUCCUGGGUCACGGUUUCAGCUUUUCUUCCUCCAUGGAGGGGCAGGCCAACCUCCUCUUUUUAGCGGGUGGAGGGUCCUCAGUGCAGUGAGAACAGUGCCCCCCUGAACUAAGGGUAGGUCCAGGCUCCCUGAUAGGUAGGGGCCUUGUUCCUGAACUGGGUGGCCAGGAGCCCCGCCACCCGCAGCUGGUUAAUAGUUUGCAUUUCACCUGGCCUUGCCCUCGGGCUCUGCAUUAACUGGUUACAGCCCCUGCUGCAUGCUUUGUUGGGCCUGGUCUUUUUCUUGGUCUCACAGGACUUCCUGCUUGGAGCAGCAGAGGCUGCGUGGGUUUUGUUUUAGAGGGGCCUGCGAUAUCAUGAUGGCCCUUUAAGAAGCAGGAAGCCAUAUGAGUUAAAGACUCAUUCACCUCAACUGGCUACCCGUGGGUGACCCCUCUGGAAAUGUCCCCGGACCGAAGCAGGCUUUGGAUAGAGCCUGCUAGAAUGCCACCUGACCGGGAGCCCUUCUACAAACCUGCGUCUGCGUCCACAGCUCAGUGGCCGCUGACCAACUCCCUGGGAGCAGAGAACUGGAUUUUCUGAGUUGCCCAGAUCUGGCCAGCCUCCAUCAACAGACUUAGUGAAUCCUAAGAGCCAGAUCUUAAAGCAAGGGUCCAGACAUGCAGGCCACUCAACCCGCCACCCUCUCCAGAAACAAAAAGGAAAUGUGUGACCACACAGUAUUUAGCUUCCCCGCCUUCAGGAGUCUGCCCGCCAUCUGAGAGCAUUUCAAGGGUGAGCAGGACUUCCGUCUCACCCCAAUAGCUGCACUAGCCCCCAAAGUGAUGAUCCUGCUUGCAUUGUCCCCUCCAGUCACCCUGUGAGCCCUCAUCUAAUGUGGGUCAUUCCCUGAUUUUACUCCAGGGCUCUAUAACACCUUCCUUGGCUCCUGAUGCCUUUAAAGACCAGACCCCCUUGCCCAGCAUUCAAGGCCUCUGCAGCCUGUAUCCAACAGGGGCUCCUUCCUCUUCCCCACAGGAAAUGGUCACUCUGGCCUGAGCCUGCCUCCUGACUGCCUUCCUGUGACUUGCUCCCACUGUCCUUACACUCAAUCCAAGAUGCCCUCCUCUUAGAGACCAUGUCCUAGAGCCCUGGGCUGUCCUGCAAGCAAGUGCUGGUGACCUCAGAGUUCUCUUUCCCCCAGAACUCUGCCGCCCCCAUUUGCUAAUCUUACCUUUUUUUGCAUUGUUAAUUAUCUUAUACAGAGAUACCUUGCCUCCCUAAUGCUGGGAGGCCCUGUAGGAAUGAAUUCUAGAUUCUGCCCCUCUCCUUCCCAGCACAAUGCUUUCUGCAUCCAAAUAAUAAAAAA